This 253-nucleotide ribosomal RNA is filed under the name uncultured bacterium. RNAcentral's name for it is "partial 16S ribosomal RNA". It matches the Rfam family "Bacterial small subunit ribosomal RNA", at positions 524 to 776 of the family's 1533-position model. The record is from RNAcentral.
GACGGAGGGGGCAAGCGUUGUCCGGACUCACUGGGCGUAAAGGGCGCGUAGGUGGUCUCGUGCGUCGGUGCUGAAAGCGCCGGGCUUAACCCGGCGAGGCGUGCCGAUACGACGAGACUCGAGGAAGAGAGAGGGUAGCGGAAUUCCGGGUGUAGUGGUGAAAUGCGUAGAGAUCCGGAGGAACGCCAGAGACGAAGGUGGCUACCUGGCUCUGACCUGACACUGAGGCGCGAAAGCGUGGGGAGCGAACCGG